Molecule: long non-coding RNA, 1041 nt
Filed under: Fukomys damarensis (Damara mole-rat)
Lineage: Eukaryota; Metazoa; Chordata; Mammalia; Rodentia; Bathyergidae
Description: lncRNA (ENSFDAG00000022580.1)
Source: RNAcentral
AGGCACAGCGGCGGCUGCAGCGGGGUUCCCAGCCCGCGGAUGUGCUCGGGAGGCGUCCUUAGUUGCCCUGCGUCGCUCGAGGACGCUGGCGCCCUGGAUAAGCCAGUGGCGUGGUAAUUAAUGGAAUGCAAUAUUUACGGUCCGGUGUCCUGACUCUGAGGCAGGCGCGCCUUGGAGGCAGUCCGUGGGGGUCUGACAAACAGGAGAUCUGAAGACAAAAGGAGAGGAGGCCUGGUGGUGAGCCGGCUAUCUCUGCUAGUUGUCAGAGCAGGUCCAUGGGUUAGGAAUGCUAAUGAGCCUGUUGGCCAGCUGAAGACUGGGUUCUCGCUCUCGCACACCCCGACGCUCACACACUCGGGCUCCUGCUACAGCACGCCGCCGACUGACAAGCACACGGGCGAGCCUCCUGCGCGACCCUGUCUCUCUCCUUUUUCCUCUGAGCCCAAGAUCGAUCGCUGACCCCACCAUUGGGCCAACGCUUUAUUUAUCUGGCUGCGCAAUGAUAUUAUCAGCCUUAAACGUUAUAUACAGCAAAUGUCUUCCUAAAUCAACACAAUAGGAUAGCUUGCAGGGACCAGGCUAGUCUUCUUAAAGAACCCCCUCGCCACCUCUCUGUCUUUCUCCCUCUGCCCCUCGCAGGCAGGCAUUUGCUUCCUGACAAUUGAGGGUAUUUUGUAAGCUGGACUUUGGGGUUUGAUCCCUAGCUUUCAGCUUGGUCAGAAGAGGCCCUGGUGGUCCAGGAGAUGGAUAGAUACCAUUAUCUAGCUAUCACUGAGACUCCCAUCAGGGGUUCUCUUGUCAGCGGGAUCCACCUGCCUAGAUCCACCCUAUUCACAAAAUCCAGAAAAUUUCAAAAUUGAGGUAGAAGAGAGAGGGAAGGGUGGGGAAUCAAGUGUGCAACCCUUCACCGUGCUAAUUGUUUUCUUUCCUCUCAAUUACAUUCAUAAACCUAUUUUCUGCAUUGCAUGUUAUUUCUUUGUGCUUCAAAAUUGAAACCACGUGCAGCCUUCUCCCCUCCGCACACACAAUAAAUGAGCGGCC